UACGGAGGGUGCGAGCGUUGUCCGGAAUCAUUGGGCGUAAGGGCGCGUAGGUGGCCCGGUCAGUUCGUGGUGAAAGCGCGGGGCUCAACCCUGCGUCGGCCAUGAAUACUGCCGCGGCUGGAGCACUGUAGAGGCAGGCGGAAUUCCGGGUGUAGCGGUGGAAUGCGUAGAGAUCCGGAGGAACACCAGCGGCGAAGGCGGCAUCCGUGGACUGGUACUGACGCU
Molecule: ribosomal RNA, 225 nt
Filed under: uncultured bacterium
Lineage: Bacteria
Description: partial 16S ribosomal RNA
Rfam family: Bacterial small subunit ribosomal RNA
Source: RNAcentral